GUUAUAUGGUCAAGCGAAUAAGCGCACACGGUGGAUGCCUUGGCGGUCAGAGGCGAUGAAGGACGUGGCAGCCUGCGAAAAGUAUCGGGGAGCUGGCAACAAGCUUUGAUCCGGUAAUGUCCGAAUGGGGAAACCCACCCGCUUGCGGGUAUCCUGCAGUGAAUACAUAGCUGCUGGAAGCGAACCUGGUGAACUGAAAUAUCUAAGUAACCAGAGGAAAAGAAAUCAACCGAGAUUCCGUAAGUAGCGACGAGCGAACGCGGACUAGCCCUUAAGCUGGAUUGGUUCUAGGAAAAYRCUCUGGAAAGAGCRGCCAUAGAAGGUGAUAGCCCUGUAUCUGAAAGGGCCAUUYCAGUGAAGACGAGUAGGGCGGGGCACGUGAAACCCUGUCUGAACAUGGGGGGACCAUCCUCCAAGGCUAAAUACUACUGACCGACCGAUAGUGAACCAGUACCGUGAGGGAAAGGCGAAAAGAACCCCGGAGAGGGGAGUGAAAUAGAACCUGAAACCGUGUGCGUACAAGCAGUAGGAGCUCCGCAAGGAGUGACUGCGUACCUUUUGUAUAAUGGGUCAGCGACUUACUGUUCGUGGCAAGCUUAACCGUAUAGGGGAGGCGAAGGGAAACCGAGUCUGAUAAGGGCGCAUAGUCGCGGGCAGUAGACCCGAAACCGGGUGAUCUAGUCAUGCCCAGGGUGAAGGUGCGGUAACACGCACUGGAGGCCCGAACCCACUCCCGUUGCAAAGGUAGGGGAUGAGGUGUGAUUAGGAGUGAAAAGCUAAUCGAACCCGGAGAUAGCUGGUUCUCCUCGAAAGCUAUUUAGGUAGCGCCUCAUAUGUAUCCUCUCGGGGGUAGAGCACUGUUAUGGCUAGGGGGUCAUCGCGACUUACCAAACCAUUGCAAACUCCGAAUACCGAGACGGACUGUAUGGGAGACACACGGCGGGUGCUAACGUCCGUCGUGAAAAGGGAAACAACCCAGACCCACAGCUAAGGUCCCAAAUUUUGUGCUAAGUGGAAAACCAUGUGGAAAGGCACAGACAGCCAGGAGGUUGGCUUAGAAGCAGCCACCCUUUAAAGAAAGCGUAAUAGCUCACUGGUCGAGUCGGUCUGCGGGGAAGAUUUAACGGGGCUAAGCACAGAACCGAAGCUUGGGGUGCAUAACUUUGUUAUGCGCGGUAGAGGAGCGUUCCGUAAGCCGUUGAAGGUGGAUUGAGAAGUCUGCUGGAGGUAUCGGAAGUGCGAAUGCUGACAUGAGUAACGAUAAUGCGGGUGAAAAACCCGCACGCCGAAAGCCCAAGGUUUCCUUGCGCAACGUUAAUCGGCGCAGGGUGAGUCGGCCCCUAAGGCGAGGACGAAAGUCGUAGUCGAUGGGAAGCAGGUUAAUAUUCCUGCACCUCGCGUAAGUGCGAUGGAGGGACGGAGAAGGUUAGGUGUACCAGGCGUUGGUUGUCCUGGGGAAAGGCGGUAGGUUUGGAUCUUUGGCAAAUCCGGGAUCCUUUAAGACCGAGCACCGAGACGAGCCUUUAUGGCGAAGUCACUGAUACCACGCUUCCAGGAAAAGCUCCUAAGCUUCAGCUUACGCAGACCGUACCGUAAACCGACACAGGUGGGUAGGAUGAGAAUUCUCAGGCGCUUGAGAGAACUCGGGUGAAGGAACUAGGCAACAUGGCACCGUAACUUCGGGAGAAGGUGCACCCUUUUUGGUGGCUCGUGCGAGCUAUAGCUGAAGAGGGUCGCAGUAACCAGGCCGCUGCGACUGUUUAUCAAAAACACAGCACUCUGCAAACACGAAAGUGGACGUAUAGGGUGUGACGCCUGCCCGGUGCUGGAAGGUUAAUUGAUGGGGUCAGCCGCAAGGCGAAGCUCUUGAUCGAAGCCCCAGUAAACGGCGGCCGUAACUAUAACGGUCCUAAGGUAGCGAAAUUCCUUGUCGGGUAAGUUCCGACCUGCACGAAUGGCGUAACGACAGCGGCGCUGUCUCCACCCGAGACUCAGUGAAAUUGAAAUCGCUGUGAAGAUGCAGCGUUCCCGUGGCAAGACGGAAAGACCCCGUGAACCUUUACUAUAGCUUUACACUGAACGUUGAGUUCGUCUGUGUAGGAUAGGUGGGAGGCUAUGAAACUGUGGCGCUAGCUGCAGYGGAGCCAUCCUUGAAAUACCACCCUGUCGUGCUUGACGUUCUAACCUGGGCCCAUUAUCUGGGUCGGGGACCGUGUAUGGUGGGUAGUUUGACUGGGGCGGUCUCCUCCUAAAGAGUAACGGAGGAGCUCGAAGGUACGCUCAGCGCGGUCGGACAUCGCGCACUGUGUGCAAAGGCAUAAGCGUGCUUGACUGCAAGAUCGACGGAUCAAGCAGGUAGGAAACUAGGACUUAGUGAUCCGGUGGUUCUGUAUGGAAGGGCCAUCGCUCAACGGAUAAAAGGUACUCCGGGGAUAACAGGCUGAUACCGCCCAAGAGUUCAUAUCGACGGCGGUGUUUGGCACCUCGAUGUCGGCUCAUCACAUCCUGGGGCUGUAGUCGGUCCCAAGGGUAUGGCUGUUCGCCAUUUAAAGUGGUACGCGAGCUGGGUUCAGAACGUCGUGAGACAGUUCGGUCCCUAUCUGCCAUGGGCGUUGGAGAUUUGAGAGGGGCUGCUCCUAGUACGAGAGGACCGGAGUGGACGAACCUCUGGUGUUCCGGUUGUCACGCCAGUGGCAUUGCCGGGUAGCUAUGUUCGGAAGCGAUAACCGCUGAAAGCAUCUAAGCGGGAAGCGCGCCUCAAGAUGAGAUCUCCCGGGGCACAAGCCCCCUGAAGGAACCAUGUAGACUACGUGGUUGAUAGGUCAGGUGUGUAAGUACAGCAAUGUAUUGAGCUAACUGAUACUAAUGAUCCGUGCGGCUUGACCAUAUAACCU
This 2894-nucleotide ribosomal RNA is filed under the name Stenotrophomonas maltophilia. RNAcentral describes it as "23S ribosomal RNA". The record is from RNAcentral. Lineage: Bacteria; Pseudomonadati; Pseudomonadota; Gammaproteobacteria; Lysobacterales; Lysobacteraceae.